Populus nigra (black poplar) is the source of this 3648-nucleotide long non-coding RNA. RefSeq lists it as uncharacterized. The record is from RefSeq and is a predicted model, not a curated record. The transcript is spliced from 5 exons. NCBI's taxonomy places the organism in Eukaryota, Viridiplantae, Streptophyta, Magnoliopsida, Malpighiales, Salicaceae.
CAAAUAAAAGUUAAAACUAUAGUGAAGUUUAUUAUUUAUUUAUUACUUUUGUUAAAAAAAAAACCCUAAAAAAGCUCAGGGUGCGUGUAAUUCUGGCCCUGGAGUCGUUGAGUGGACGAGGGGUUUAAGAAGGGUGUUUCAUGGAUGCAUGUUAUGACACCUCUUUUGUUUUAUGUCAGUGCUUGAGGACGUGGCUGAAUAGCCACCUCUAAGGAACCCUGUCAAACUUGAAAGGGAAUGGAGAGGAGAUGUGAGAGAGGGGAUCAAUGAUUUUCGCUCCCUUUAGUAGGACUGGAGGCAAAAAACAGAUGGUUGGGAGUAGCGAACAACCUUGGUCAAUAGAGUUUGGUGUUGAUUGGUGAGAAAAAAGGCAUGUUACCCCUGUAAGAGAUCUUUUCCCCUGUAAGAGAUCAAGACUAGCAUGGCUAAGGGCUUCAAAAAGCUAGAAGUCUCCACCGCCAUUACCAUGAGAACCAAGUGGAAAAAGAAGUGCAUGGGGAGAUUAAAGGGAGCGUAGAAAGAUAUGGCAGAGGUUUAAGUGCAUUUUCGAUUGUGGUCUUAUUUUUUUAGCCUGUUUUAAAUCAAACGGUGGAUUAUAUAGUUUUCUCUUAUGUUUUGAUUAAUCAAAUGGUGGGUUUUAUCUAGGCAUUUGCAAUCUAAAUCUGAUUUAUAAUAUGUUCUACCUUUUCCUAUGAUCCGUGAGAGAAAAGCUUCAGUUAUUGUAACAACUUCUGUGAAUGGGCACCUUGCAGCAGUUGUUGUAACGACUUCUGUAAAUGGGCACUUUGCAGCAGUUGAUGAUGCUGUUUUUUAACAAAGCUUGAUGUUGAAAGAGGUUUUGGGGAUAAACAUGGCAUGCUGUCAUCUCAAGAAUCAAGAACUUUUGUAAAUCUUGGUGUUGUGCUUAAUAUUUCCAUGACUGGUCAUGAAUCUGAUAAGGUUUCUUUUGAUUUCUUUGUUUGGAGUGGAAAAUAUGUGGAAUGCUUGCUUCUCGUGAGUUAGAAAAAUGGGCAGAGAGGGUGCAGUCACUUGUGGAAUUUAUUUCUUUAUUUCUUUUAUAUUUUUUUUUCAUUGUCUUAUGUUGGUUUUAGAUUAUUUCUCUUCUCACCUUUUGCUUUCUUUUUUCCCUUUGUCAUGCAUGUUUCUUUUCGGAUGCUUGGGAGGGGGUUGUGAUUUGGUUUAUUAUUUUUUUAGGAAGGUCUCCUUCCUUCAUUGAUUGAAGGCUUUGUUAGAAAAUUCCUUUUUAUCACUUCUUUAUGGUUUUUUUUCCUAGUUAAAAUCUAUUAUCUUAACUGAUUGGUUCAUGGGCUUAGAAAGGGGCGGGUAGAAGUUGGCUUUGAUUUUGGGUUCUGGGAUUCUAUUUUUUGGGAUAUUAUUUUUUUAUCUGAUGUGCUUAUCUCAGGGAAAAAAAAAGGUUAGAGGUUGAGUUUUAGCAGGAUUAGUUCUAGCUUUGGCUAGUUGUCUCCUUUUUCAUAUAUGUGUUUUGCUUGUGAAAAAAAAACUAUGGCUUUUUUGUAGGAGUCUACAUCCUUUAUUGAUUGAGGGUUUUGUAAGAGAUAUGCUCUGAUCAUGUCUCUUCUGUUCUUUCUUUGUUUGACUGGUUAGAGUCUAUUAUCUUAAUUGGCUGGUUAAUGAAACUAGGAAGGGAUGGGUAGAGGUUAGCUUGGGUUGGGAUUUUAGGAUUACAUUUAUGGGUUAGGCGGCCUUUGUCAGUUGUUGUUUGAUGCGCUUAUCUCAUAAAAAAAGUUAUAGUUUGUAUCUUAGCAGGGGGUGGCUUCCAGCCUUGGAAGGCUAUCUCCAUUCCAUGCAUGUGUGUUGUUUAAGUUCAAAAAAAAAAAAAUCUCACUAUCCUCCUACCAGCUGUUACUUAGUUAACGUAAGAGUUAAUGAAUAUAAAAUCUGAAUUCUCUGUGGAUGAUGAAGUUUGUAUAGGAUCUCAUGGCAUUUUGAUCGAUGAGUUAGAUUGCUAAUAUAUUGUUGUCUGUGUUGAUUUUUUUAGGCUUCAAUUUGCACUGUAGUUUUGGUUUUUUUAAUAUAAGGGGCCUGUUUAUGGCGAUUUACUGUUCACUUAUGAUCUGUCUUUUUUAUCCCGGAGUAGGAUACGUUGCUUUGGUUUAUUUCUGGUCUCUCCAUAAGUGUUUUGGUUAUUGCGGUUGAUCUGUUUAGGUGAAGCAUUUUCCUGGCAAUUUGCUUUUGCUUAUCCCACUUUACACAGAUCAUUCUUUUUUUCCCUUACCUGUACUUCCUUUUCGAUUUCAUUGGCAUUUCUUUUAUGCUUUUUGUUGUUGUGGUGGUUCUUAGCUCAUUUUAUUUUAUUUUUUCUCUUUGCCAAGGAAAACUAUGCUUGGAUGGUUGUUGCUGUUUAUUCUUGCACUGUUUUUUUUUUCUGGGUUCAGCUUUAUUGUUUAUGAGUCAACUUGGGGUUUUCCGCUAUUGUUUUUAUAAACGGUGUGACAUGAACGCUUUUGUAUCUUUUGCUUAAUAGAUCAACUAACAUGCAAUCAUUGUCUUUAUUGCCUUGUAUUCGAAACCUUGGCAUCUUGUGCAACAUUUUUUCUUUAGCAACUUAUAAAGCCUAUUGUUCAUCAAUUGAAAUUUUGAACGCUGCUGUCUCAUUUGCAUUUUCUUUUGAUUUUUUUGUUGCCUUCUAUCAUUUUUCCGUUGCAAGUGCCAUUUGGUUCUUCGCAUGGUUUCUUGCUUUAUUUUCCCCUACUCUUUGGAUAUUUUUUUCCAGUUUAGUCUUUAUGUUUACUGAUUUACAUCAGUUUUGGGAUUGUUCAACGAACUCCCUGCUCCUCCUUAAGCUUUGAAUUGAAAUCACCCAGCGACAUAUCGUUCUUUGCUGUUUUACAACUCCGAUUGAUCUUUUUCUCCUAUAGAUUGGAAUCCUCUUUUCUAGUCAGGUCUUUUUGCAUCUUCAUUUAUGUUUGUUGCCAUUCUUAUUUCUUCAGGUUGGCUGUGCCAUUUCCCUUGACUUUGUUGUUCUUUUUUUCCUGUUUCUUAGUUUAGUCUUGCGCUUCGUCACCCUUUCCUAAUCCUCUAAAGGUUGAAUCUCUUCAUUAUUGCCUCUUUCUUUGGAUAGUUUUACGAGGAUUCCAAGGCUUGAAAAGAGCGUGAACAAUGACAAGCUUUUCUAGCGGUUGCUUGAAAAGAGUUGCUGCCUUUUUCUUCACUGUUUCCUCGGUAGUUGUAGGUCAAGGUACACUGACCACACAGCCUUUCCAGUGCUGAAAUGGUGUUAUCUAGAAGUUUGACUUGCGUACAACUUGUGAACCCGCCCUUCCUUGCUCUGCUUCCAUCUUGACAUCCCCAUUAAAUGUUGCUCCAUUUUGUGCACUGCAUGUUCUUUAUUUUUUUUGUGCACCUCUUGCUGAAGUAGAAUAAACAUUGUUUAUGUUGCUCAAAAAAAUUUACGCUGUCUUUUUGUUUUCAUUUUAAUGCUUGAUUAUCCUUGCGUUCUUUUAAUUCAACAUUAUUGGUUCACUAUCUUAAAUGGAGGGUGGCUAUUCCUUUUUUUUCCAAUGCAUUGCGACCCAUUUUGCCAUUAACGAGCCCGUGUAUGAUUUUCUGCAUUUCUUUCCCACUUGUAAUUCUGUGCAGUCUUUGAGAAUUUUGACUGACUUGAAAUUUUAAUUUAAGAUGAAAUGA